Molecule: long non-coding RNA, 658 nt
Organism: Homo sapiens (human)
Lineage: Eukaryota; Metazoa; Chordata; Mammalia; Primates; Hominidae
Exons: 2
Source: RefSeq, a predicted model, not a curated record
AGCUCAGAAAGAGGAGUGUGGGAGGCUGCUGACCCAGAUGAAUGGAAUGAAACAUUGUAGGGAACAGUUAUAUCCUCAGAUGCCUUCUCUCAUCCCACAAAGCUGAGCAGCUGUCCGUCCUUGACUCUGGGAGAAAGGCGUUAUCAUCAAGAUUUCCAUAAGUGGACAGAAGACACACUGACCAUGAAAGGAAGGCCAGCACUGGGUGAUCAUUUUCAUUCUAAAUGGAAUCUCAUCAAAUAAGCAAAGAAGAUUAAGCGCAGAGAAAAGACAAUGCUGUCACCAUGCCCAUGCCAAACACUUUUCAUCUAUUCUUCUGAGACUAGCUCUGAGAAGUUACCUGGGAGAUUUUACCUAUGUAAGAAGACAACCUUUGCUCACUGUGGAGUUCUGUCCCUCACUUUUCUGCAAUUUGUUGGAACAUCCUUCAGAGAUCAGAGAAGCUUUGUUCUAGGACAUUGGCUGUUCUUGGGACUCAUUCAAUCUCCCUGAAAGUCACUUACUACCCCUUAAAAUUACCUACAUUUCUCAUUUCUCUCUUCCCUAUGAAGAGAGUAUUUAAGCUUCAACCACCUUGCCCUUCUUUGAGUUUCAUAUUUUGUAUGGUUCCCGUAAACACUUACAUGUUAAUAAAUUUGUGUGCUUUUCCUCUUGUAAA